UACGUAGGGUGCAAGCGUUGCCCGGAUUUAUUGGGCGUAAAGGGCGCGCAGGCGGCUACGCACGUCCGUUGUGAAAUCGCUCGGCUCAACUGGGCGGGGUCAGCGGAUACGGCGUAGCUGGAGCAAGCUAGGGGGCAAUGGAAUUCCCGGUGUAGUGGUGAAAUGCGUAGAUAUCGGGAGGAACACCUGUGGCGAAAGCGGCUCUCUGGACCACAACUGACGCUGAGGCG
This 230-nucleotide ribosomal RNA is filed under the name uncultured bacterium. RNAcentral describes it as "partial 16S ribosomal RNA". It matches the Rfam family "Bacterial small subunit ribosomal RNA", at positions 524 to 753 of the family's 1533-position model. The record is from RNAcentral.